RNAcentral lists this ribosomal RNA (515 nucleotides) under uncultured bacterium. Its description in RNAcentral is "partial 16S ribosomal RNA". It matches the Rfam family "Bacterial small subunit ribosomal RNA", at positions 28 to 523 of the family's 1533-position model. The record is from RNAcentral.
GAUGAACGCUGGCGGCGUGCCUAAUACAUGCAAGUCGAGCGAAUGGAUUAAGAGCUUGCUCUUAUGAAGUUAGCGGCGGACGGGUGAGUAACACGUGGGUAACCUGCCCAUAAGACUGGGAUAACUCCGGGAAACCGGGGCUAAUACCGGAUAACAUUUUGAACCGCAUGGUUCGAAAUUGAAAGGCGGCUUCGGCUGUCACUUAUGGAUGGACCCGCGUCGCAUUAGCUAGGUGGGGAGGUAACGGCUCACCAAGGCAACGAUGCGUAGCCGACCUGGGAGGGUGAUCGGCCACACUGGGACUGAGACACGGCCCCGACUCCUACGGGAGGCAGCAGUAGGGAAUCUUCCGCAAUGGACGAAAGUCUGACGGAGCAACGCCGCGUGAGUGAUGAAGGCUUUCGGGUCGUAAAACUCUGUUGUUAGGGAAGAACAAGUGCUAGUUGAAUAAGCUGACACCUUGACGGUACCUAACCAGAAAGCCACGGCUAACUACGUGCCAGCCGCCGCGGUAA